GCAGGAGCCCCUUAUCCGCCGCAUCUUCCAUGACGUCGCCGAACCCCUGCAGGGUCCCCGCGGCCUUCCUGUCCUCCGCGCGCAGCGGCGGCUAUAAAAGGGGAGAAUUCGGCGCGCGGCGCAGGAAGGGAUCCGGAUCAAGGGCUUCCUUCCCCCUCCUGCUCCGCCGCCAUGAAGCGCUUCGCGGCUGCCCUGGUCCUCCUCCUCCUGGGAGCCCUCCUGGCCCCGGCCGANGCUUCUCUGGGCCCUGAAAAGACCCCCGAGGAAACUCUUAAUCCGUGUGUUUACCGCUGCUGCCCCAUAUAUACCACGAGGCCAAUUCCGAAAUACCUCGUGAAAUCCUGUGAACGUGCAUCCGGCUGCUGUGCACAGCCAGCAUAUAUGUGAGUAUCGNUAGAUU
This 400-nucleotide long non-coding RNA is filed under the name Salvator merianae (Argentine black and white tegu). Its description in RNAcentral is "lncRNA (ENSSMRG00000008814.1)". Lineage: Eukaryota; Metazoa; Chordata; Lepidosauria; Squamata; Teiidae. The record is from RNAcentral.